GACGAACGCUGGCGGCGUGCUUAACACAUGCAAGUCGAACGGUAAGGCCCUUCGGGGUACACGAGUGGCGAACGGGUGAGUAACACGUGGGUGAUCUGCCCUGCACUUCGGGAUAAGCCUGGGAAACUGGGUCUAAUACCGGAUAGGACUCCGGACUGCAUGGUCUGGGGUGGAAGGCUUUUGCGGUGUGGGAUGGGCCCGCGGCCUAUCAGCUUGUUGGUGGGGUGAUGGCCUACCAAGGCGACGACGGGUAGCCGGCCUGAGAGGGUGACCGGCCACACUGGGACUGAGAUACGGCCCAGACUCCUACGGGAGGCAGCAGUGGGGAAUAUUGCACAAUGGGCGCAAGCCUGAUGCAGCGACGCCGCGUGAGGGAUGACGGCCUUCGGGUUGUAAACCUCUUUCAGCAUCGACGAAGCGAAAGUGACGGUAGGUGCAGAAGAAGGACCGGCCAACUACGUGCCAGUAGCCGCAGUAA
This 478-nucleotide ribosomal RNA is filed under the name uncultured bacterium. RNAcentral's name for it is "partial 16S ribosomal RNA". It matches the Rfam family "Bacterial small subunit ribosomal RNA", at positions 28 to 523 of the family's 1533-position model. The record is from RNAcentral.